Molecule: long non-coding RNA, 4347 nt
Filed under: Daphnia magna
Lineage: Eukaryota; Metazoa; Arthropoda; Branchiopoda; Diplostraca; Daphniidae
Description: uncharacterized LOC123475877
Source: RNAcentral
UCGUUCAAGAUUCACUGUCAAAGUGUGUCCAGCUCAAGGUGUGUGAAUAAGUUGGUUCUAAUCAGAUUUGGGACAGAUGGAACAAUCUUAUUAAUUCGUGUAGUCUACGUGUCCAAAACAAUCGACGACAUUCGUCUAGUGUAAAAAAAAAACAAAAUAAAAUGCCUUUAUUUGGGCAAUUCUUCGAGAGGCAAGGUGUAUAAUAAUAUAGAACACGAUUCAUUUCUUCCUUCCGUUCCACAAAUGCGACGGAUACGGGAAGAGAAUCAAGGUUUCGCAUGCAAUCUGCACCAAGACACAAAAAAAAACAGCACACGAGGAAAUAACAACGCCCAUACUAAAUGCUAUACCCACCUAAUGGAAGAAGGGCCUUCGAUAUUCUUCUUCUUUUUUUCUUUUGGCCGACGACUUCCCGCGUGAUGUUUCAAGGCGAUGGUGAAAGUGCACGCUAUGUACUCGUGCUGUGUAUAUACUAUGCGAUAGUAGCCUACACACAUGCCAUUUGAAGCCGAAAUAAUGUGCAUAUAACUCGUAUAUAUACAGUUGAAUUCUUCUUUGCAGUCUGCAUGCAUAUGUACAACCGCAACUUACAUCACAUUUUGGUGUGUAAGCGGAUAAGACAUCGAUAUGGCGCCGACGUCUUUGAAUAAUUCAGCUUCCGUAAUUUCAAACAGUUGAAAACGAUUCGUGGAGAACAUCAGCACACACACAACAAAAAAACAAAGCAAAGGUGGUGGGCCUUGGCGGUAUAGUUAUACGAUAAUUAUAUAUAUAUAUACGUGCUGUGUACAGUGUAUAGUAUAGUACAUAUUAUAGUGAGUUGCGUAUAUAACCUUGGAGAAAAAGGGUUGGUGUGAGCGCGCGUUACCGGAACAGAACGUGAACCGCAUUCCGAUUGAUGAGUCGUUUCUCCGUUUAGAUUAGCUGACGUUUCUCAUCCCCUUCUUCUUCUGUCGUCGGGCAAUAAGUGCCUGUGAUGCCGUGAAAAACUGUCGGGCUACCAAAGUUGGUCACGGCAGCAAUAGCGACAUUUUGCGCUCGUCGUCGUUUCGCCCGAAAUUCCGAAUAUAGAGAAAACACGCACUUGAUUGUUGUCUCUCUCUCUCUCCCUCUGCCGCCGCUGGUUCUUAUUUUUUGUGUGUGCUGUUUGUUUUGGCCGCGCGCUUUGAUGUGAUUUCCCAUGAAGCCUAUUAAUCACAUCAGUUGAAAAAACACAUAUGGAGAGCUGUUCUCUCUGAUGCCAUUGCUGCCCAUUGUCAAGCACGUUCUUCUCUUGUUUUGUUUUAUACGUAUGACACGCACAUGUUGAAGCAACACACUUUUCUGAUGCACAACAACAACAACGACCAGCUGUUUCAACUGGAAUUGCCAAUGAGUUGGAAUAUCGAAAAACAAAAUUUGCUUAUUUUAUUUGCAUUUUGCUGAUUUUUUUUUAAUGCUGCACCAAUAUAUGUAUUAUACGUGCAGUGUGUGGCAUUUUUAUCUGACGUUCCAAAAGAGAAACAACGUGAGUUUUGCGCAUCAUUGGGCAGCGUACAGCGUGCCAGGGAGGGGAUUGAUAUUUUUAUCGCGACGAAGGUCAUUUUCAAUUAUGAUGUAUUUUUGUAGGACAUUGUGUCAUUGUUUGAACAUUUUUUUUUUGGAGAGAUCAAUUUUCGUGUGAACUGACAAUGUUGUCACAGCCAUUCUACGUUUUUAAUUGAUUCGUUAUACAUAUUAUAGUCAAUAACAAAUUGCGUAUUUUUUUUCGUGCAUUUCGUGUGUGCCCAUCUCCGUAUCGAAUAUUUAUAUAUGGGCUAGACCCUUCUUUAAUUCAAUGCGUGCCGGACGGAUGUGAUGAUAUCCGGUGUCUCAGCCGAGCCGAUUUUUUUUUUUUUAAUAAGGGGGAAAAUGUUUCAGAAUUUCACGUAUAGAUCGAUCAAGUCAAAAAAAAAAAAAAGAAUAAUUAUUUGUUUUUGUUUAUUUUCCUUAUUUCAAAGUCCAAAUUAUUUUCUGUUGCUGGUAAACAACCCGAACAGAAUUCAGCAGCAAAAAGAGGUAAAACUCGAUUUUCCAUAUUUUUGGAUUGCAAAAAUUGUAUUUGCCAAACGGACACGUUCUUGGCGUCAGUAAUAAUGGCUCUUCUAAAAUGCUUCGUCACACGUUGGCGGAUGCCUUUAUGAUCGGUGAACACAGCAGAGAGAUGGAGAAGAAAGAAAAAAAACAAACAACCUGUUGUUGCAUCCAUCAGCUUACAGCACUUAUUGCGCUUUCAUGGAUGAAAGGGAAAACAAAUGGGAAAACGAGAAAAUGAUUUGAAACAAAAGAUGGGUAGCAACAACUUGUUGUGCGUCUUGUUUUAUUCAAAAGUCUCACUUGCCGUGUUUCUUGCGCUCUCGAGUCCACCUAUUGUUUUUGAUUACGAAUACAAUGGGCCUUGUCUUCUCGACAAAAAUCUCACCCAUCUCGUCGAAUGAUUGCGCUGAAUUUUUAUUUACAUUCCAAUGAUUUUCAAGUCCAAAGUCCUUUAGGAUUUCGUUGUUUUUUUCGAAAAAUAUCGUCGGUAAGAGAAGAAAAAAAAAUCAGUUGGACAUAUUUCCGGUUUAUUCUAAUUUGGAUUGUCACCGUCCCCUUGUCCAAAUAAGGGGAAAACGAAACCAACUCACGCACCACCAGUCAGGCAUGAAUCAAACCCGUGUCUACAUUGUGUAAAUAUCGUAUACCUUCAAGGAGAUGUACACACAAUACACUCUUUCGUACCCUUGAUUUUCUUAUUUUGGUUCGAAGGGAUUAGGUUACACGUUCAGCAGACAAUCAUAAUUAAAAUUGAAUGGGAUUGCGUGAAUGAUUCGACAUGUCGCCACGCAUUUCGAAUUCAACUCUUCCCGCCUUACGGUCGAACGGUGUUAGGUUUGUACAGGAUUCCCUAUAUAGAUUGACUUUUUUUUUUUGGAUACAUAAACUCAUUCGAAAAAGAAAAGAAAAUGAGGGAAAGUUGGGGGACUAUAUUUCGCCCACGCCGACCUUGAUAUCAUCGAGGCGAGUCAAUAAUCCAACAGAGGCCGUGUCUUAAUACUCUUGUGUUGUAUAGCCGAACAAACAGCACGAAACAUCUCAUUUCACGCUAGCUGAUCGUUAACCUAGAUGUUAUAUCAAACUUUGUUUUUACACAGUUUUUCUCUCUCUAUGCGUGUAUAUAGUAUAGACUACAGUUGUAACUGUUUUUAGACUGUUAUAUAGAAAGAGAGAGACCUGGGCAACGAUAACAAAUUGGGACUAUAUAUACUGGACUCUGAUGUUUCCCUUUCCGGUCUUUAGCCUGUUUGACGUAUAUGAUUGUCACGAACCUGGCGUGUAUACAGAGACACACAUAUAGGCCUAAAAACAUAAAUGUCAUGGCCACGACCGUGACCUGAUUGCGGACAGUUGGGACGCUGCACUGCUUGAUUCAAGACGUGCACGUUAUAAAAGAAUUCACUUAUAAAUAGGCCUCUCUUUUGUGUUUAUUUUCAGACGCUUCCCUCUUCUCCCACAUAAUAUACGUUUCCUGUCGUAAACAGAUUGAUCACUCCUCGUGGGAUCUUUGCAAUCUGCUGUAGCCACCGCCUUCGAAAUAAUUAAUUAUGUCAUAUUAGAAAAGAAGUGGCAAGUGAAAUAAACGUGCGUAUACACAAUUUGCGGCUGUGUGUAGAGCAUCUUGUGGUAAUGUUUCCCUGUUAGCAAUUUCUUUGUUUUUAAAAAGGCACCACCAUUCACCCCAGACGUAUCAAAUAUAAGAAAGAGAGGAACAAACAAAAAAAAUGAUACCCUGCCAUUUUAUUACUAUAUAUACGGGGUUUGUUCAAAGCACCCGGCGUUAUACCCAACGAAAUCACGAAGAAAUAAAAAGAAAAUGAUUUCCUUCUUUUUUUCUUUUUUUUUUUCCUUCCCUUAACAUCUUGUUCCCUUUGGUCCCAUUAUAUAAUGACCAAGUUUUUUUUUGUUUUUGUUUUUUUUAUCCCACCAAAUGUUGUGUUAGACUCUUUGGGGGGAGGCCUUGCUGCCUCUUUUUCUGGUGGGAGAGAUUUCUUUUCAGCCAAUGUUUUAUAAACAUAAUAUUUAUUGAUCAGCACCGCGUAGAGUGGUGAGCUCGACUCGUAUACCGAUGAAAUGACUUUUUAGCUGGCAGGGCGACCAAGGGCACACACGUUAAGGCUUCUCCACACAGCACACUCAAUCAAAACGUGUGUUUCUCUGAUAGUGUCAUCCGGCGUGCGUAAUAGGCAUUUGGGUUCGUGACACAUGGAUAAAAGAAUUGACAAAGUCGCUGAAAGUUGAAGGACUAUCUCUUCUCUUUUUGUGUUUUCUUUUAAAUUUGUUGAUUGAUUU